This 433-nucleotide ribosomal RNA is filed under the name uncultured bacterium. RNAcentral describes it as "partial 16S ribosomal RNA". It matches the Rfam family "Bacterial small subunit ribosomal RNA", at positions 29 to 507 of the family's 1533-position model. The record is from RNAcentral.
AACGAACGCUGGCGGCAUGCCUAACACAUGCAAGUCGAACGAGACCUUCGGGUCUAGUGGCGCAAGGGUGCGUAACGCGUGGGAACCUGCCCUUAGGUUCGGAAUAACUCCCCGAAAGGGGUGCUAAUACCGGAUAAUGUCUUCGGACCAAAGAUUUAUCGCCUUUGGAUGGGCCCGCGUUGGAUUAGCUAGUUGGUAGGGUAAAAGCCUACCAAGGCGACGAUCCAUAGCUGGUCUGAGAGGAUGAUCAGCCACACUGGGACUGAGACACGGCCCAGACUCCUACGGGAGGCAGCAGUGGGGAAUAUUGGACAAUGGGCGAAAGCCUGAUCCAGCAAUGCCGCGUGAGUGAUGAAGGCCUUAGGGUUGUAAAGCUCUUUUACCCGGGAUGAUAAUGACAGUACCGGGAGAAUAAGCUCCGGCUAACUCCGUG